RNAcentral lists this ribosomal RNA (330 nucleotides) under uncultured bacterium. RNAcentral's name for it is "bacterial SSU rRNA". It matches the Rfam family "Bacterial small subunit ribosomal RNA", at positions 568 to 898 of the family's 1533-position model. The record is from RNAcentral.
UGUGUAGGCGGUUCUUUAAGUUUGGUGUGAAAUCUCCCGGCUUAACCGAGAGGGUGCGCCGAAUACUGAGGGACUAGAGUGCGGGAGAGGAAAGUGGAAUUCCUGGUGUAGCGGUGAAAUGCGUAGAUAUCAGGAGGAACACCGGUGGUGUAGACGGCUUUCUGGACCGUAACUGACGCUGAGACACGAAAGCGUGGGUAGCAAACAGGAUUAGAUACCCUGGUAGUCCACGCCCUAAACGAUGCAUAUUUGGUGUGGGUCAUUCAGUUGAUCCGUGCCGGAGCUAACGCGUUAAAUAUGCCGCCUGGGGAGUACAGUCGCAAGGCUGAA